AUGUGCCACUUGUACACUCCGGUUCUCGGCGCGCAGUCCGCACCCACCUGACGACCGCUCGCUACGUUUUGUUGGCC
RNAcentral lists this small RNA (77 nucleotides) under Xanthomonas arboricola pv. guizotiae. RNAcentral's name for it is "sX9 sRNA". It matches the Rfam family "Xanthomonas sRNA sX9". Lineage: Bacteria; Pseudomonadati; Pseudomonadota; Gammaproteobacteria; Lysobacterales; Lysobacteraceae. The record is from RNAcentral.